This 363-nucleotide ribosomal RNA is filed under the name uncultured bacterium. Its description in RNAcentral is "bacterial SSU rRNA". It matches the Rfam family "Bacterial small subunit ribosomal RNA", at positions 62 to 421 of the family's 1533-position model. The record is from RNAcentral.
UCGAACGCUGAAGCCUGGUGCUUGCACCGGGUGGAUGAGUGGCGAACGGGUGAGUAACACGUGAGUAACCUGCCCCUGACUUCGGGAUAAGCCCGGGAAACUGGGUCUAAUACCGGAUACGACUGCCGGACGCAUGUCUGGUGGUGGAAAGUUUUUUCGGUUGGGGAUGGGCUCGCGGCCUAUCAGUUUGUUGGUGAGGUAAUGGCUCACCAAGACGACGACGGGUAGCCGGCCUGAGAGGGCGACCGGCCACACUGGGACUGAGACACGGCCCACACUCCUACGGGAGGCAGCAGUGGGGAAUAUUGCACAAUGGGGGAAACCCUGAUGCGGCGACGCAGCGUGCGGGAUGACGGCCUUCGG